This is a long non-coding RNA of Solanum pennellii, 1246 nucleotides long. RefSeq lists it as uncharacterized. The transcript has 2 exons. The record is from RefSeq and is a predicted model, not a curated record. NCBI's taxonomy places the organism in Eukaryota, Viridiplantae, Streptophyta, Magnoliopsida, Solanales, Solanaceae.
AACAAAGAUGCGCAUCUCUUCCAAGCGUCAAAGAAAGCGACUCCUACGCGCUCCUAACGUCUCUUUCGGCUCGAACGGUUGUUUCUGCUGGCCGCCUGCAGCUAGUGUCCUUGGAGCAGCAUAAAGCAGUCCGUGUUUCGUCUUUGCGACCUCAAGAUGAAGACGCGUAGUCAAAGCAAGGACGAUUGGGUUGAUCCUAGACGUCCCUUCCCUUUCCUUUCGGUAUUGAGUUUGAAUUUGCAGGGAAAAGUUGUCCUCCCUCUUUCGGAAAAGAGAUUUGAAUUCUCAAAGUAGAAUCUCAAUUCUACCCCUUUUCCCCUUUUUCCCUUUUUAACCCUAAUUGUUCUGCCUCUAUAAAUAAUCUCUUUCAAUAGAGGGGGAGGGGGAGGGGGAUUUUUGGGGGAAGAGCUAAGAGAAUUUUUUUUUAAAAAAAAACAGAGACAUAAGUGAGUUUUUUUAGAGAGAAAGCACAGUGAAAGGUUUAGAAGCUGUCAAUCGGAAAAAUUAAGAAAAAAAAAUAUCAAUUGGACCUUUUGAAGUGGGAUUUUAGCAAUAAAACAGAAAAAUACUUAAACAAAAAAUAGCUAGAACACACACUAAAUACACUUUUUUUUAAAAAAAAUAGAGGAGAACUAGUUUUGAUUUUUGAGUUUGAUAUUCUGUUCGAAUUCCUUGGUCGCUGCUCGAGUAGGACUUUUGUGGUUGAGGUCGUCGUUGCUCCUCGUUUGUCCCAGAUAGACGCCUCGAAAAGGUUAUAUAAACCCCUUUCGAGUCCAUGGUGGACUUCUUCCCCUUGCAUUUCGAGAAAGAGUCGUGGAGGCUCAAGCUCCUCUUUCGAGUCAACCCGCCUUAUAAAGGGUGUACAGGUUCCGAAGUGAAAAAGCCAAAGUGGAAGAGUUGAAGAAGUUGGGGCCAAGAGACUCACUUUAUGUUAUUUUAUUUUUAAAAACAUUGUAUUUUGUUAUUUUUGGGCCUAAGCCCUUGUCAUUUUUGUACUAUUACUUUGUUAGUUUAGGACAGGUACCGUUGACAUGGGCCAAAUGCCCAAAAGUAAAUGGGUCCAAAUACCGGUCCAGACGAACAGGAAACCCAGAUUUGGACCCCAAACUCUCUCUCUCUCUCUCUCUCUCUACUCUUUCUUUUUUUAUUUUUUUGUUUAUUUAUACGUUAUUAUUUUUUGUUAGCUUUAGGGUCAAAAAUACCAAAUUCUCCUCGAAGCGCCCUAAUGUUUUAGCGAUUUAAAAAA